Molecule: RNA transcript, 1971 nt
Organism: Vigna unguiculata (cowpea)
Lineage: Eukaryota; Viridiplantae; Streptophyta; Magnoliopsida; Fabales; Fabaceae
Gene name: AP-2 complex subunit mu
Source: RefSeq, a predicted model, not a curated record
GUUGUAGAAGAACAUUGGAACAGAGUUGAAGUGUUGCUGUGCUAAGAAACGCUGACUCGUAACUUUUCACAUUUUGUUGCUUUCCUUCUUUGGUUCUCUCCGUCCACCACUUUCUGUUGUUGUUGGUAUUGUUUUUUCUGCUGCUGCUGCUAGCUUCAGAUCUGCAUCUGAUUGUUACUCUUCUUCGAAAGUUUUUCGUCAGAGAAUUUGGAAGCUGAUACACCGGAUUGGAGAUGCCGGUGGCUGCUUCCGCUAUAUACUUCUUGAACCUCCGCGGCGACGUUCUCAUCAAUCGCCUCUACCGAGACGAUGUUGGGGGAAAUAUGGUUGAUGCUUUUCGGACACAUAUAAUGCAAACAAAAGAACUUGGUACUUGUCCUGUGAGGCAGAUUGGUGGCUGCUCUUUCUUUUACAUGAGGAUCAGCAAUGUUUACGUCGUGAUUGUUGUCAGCAGCAAUGCUAAUGUAGCUUGCGCUUUCAAGUUUGUUGUUGAGGCAGUUGCACUAUUUAAAUCAUAUUUUGGCGGUGCCUUUGAUGAAGAUGCAAUUCGCAAUAAUUUUGUACUUAUUUAUGAGCUCCUAGAUGAAAUCAUGGAUUUUGGUUAUCCUCAAAAUCUUUCUCCAGAAAUCUUAAAGCUUUAUAUCACUCAGGAAGGAGUGCGUUCCCCAUUUUCAUCCAAGCCUUUAGAUAGACCUGUUCCAAAUGCAACUUUACAAGUUACUGGUGCUGUUGGUUGGCGGAGAGAAGGCCUUGUAUACAAAAAGAACGAGGUCUUCUUGGAUAUUGUGGAGAGCGUGAAUCUUCUUAUGUCUUCAAAGGGUGUUGUUCUACGCUGUGAUGUUACGGGGAAGAUUCUUAUGAAGUGCUUUCUUUCUGGAAUGCCUGAUUUGAAGUUGGGUCUGAAUGACAAGAUUGGCCUCGAGAAAGAGUCAGAAAUUAAAUCUCGUCCUACUAAAAGUGGUAAAACUAUUGAGCUUGAUGAUGUAACUUUCCAUCAAUGUGUAAAUCUGACAAGGUUCAACUCAGAGAAGACAGUUAGUUUUGUGCCACCUGAUGGUGAAUUUGAACUAAUGAAAUAUCGUAUCACCGAGGGUGUUAAUCUUCCCUUCAAAGUAUUGCCCACUAUCAAGGAACUUGGUCGAACAAGGAUGGAAGUAAAUGUUAAGGUAAAGAGUGUCUUUGGCGCAAAGAUGUUUGCACUAGGGGUUGUUGUCAAAAUUCCUGUGCCGAAACAAACAGCAAAAACGAGUUUCACAGUCACAUCUGGUCGAGCAAAAUAUAAUGCAGCUAUUGAUUGUUUGGUUUGGAAGUAAGAGUCUCACUUUGUUAUGAUUACUAUGUGAAACAAAGUGGUUUUCCGACCCUAAUUCAGCAUCUUGAGUAACCUAAAUACUAAGAAAAUUUCCUGGGCAAACUGAGCCGACCUUGAGUGCAGAAGUUGAACUUAUUUCCACGAUGACAGAAAAGAAAUCUUGGACUAGACCGCCAAUUCAGAUGGAGUUUCAGGUUCCCAUGUUCACGGCAUCUGGUUUACGUGUCCGUUUUCUAAAGGUGUGGGAAAAGAGUGGAUACAACACUGUUGAGUGGGUUCGGUAUAUAACAAAGGCAGGAUCGUACGAGGUAAGGUGCUAGUCGUCACAUGGAAAAACAUCAGAUUAAUGGGUGGAGAUGGAAGCAAAUCCAAAUGCAGUUACCAGUUAUAGCUUGAGUUUCUUCUUAGCAUCAUCACAUAGAGUGCCGUCAAAUGAUUGUGGUUGUGAAAAAUGAGUCAAAGGCCAGGUUGUUCAUGUAAACUCUUAAUUGAUCCCAUCUCCCUUGUACACAUUGUAUUUUAUUUUAAUGAUAGUGGCGCGUUCAGUAGUUGUUUUUUUCGCGCUAAAUGUAGGCAUUGAAAAGAUAAAUAUGUGGAGACACUACUUGUAAGUAUGUGAUGAUUCGUUGCUUCAAGGGAAGAAAUCAUAUUUGAGAUAA